Molecule: ribosomal RNA, 440 nt
Filed under: uncultured bacterium
Lineage: Bacteria
Description: partial 16S ribosomal RNA
Rfam family: Bacterial small subunit ribosomal RNA
Source: RNAcentral
CUACGGGAGGCACCAGUGAGGAAUAUUGCACAAUGGGGGGAACCCUGAUGCAGCAACGCCGCGUGGAGGAUGACGCAUUUCGGUGUGUAAACUCCUUUUAUAUGUCAAGAAAAUGACGGUAGCAUAUGAAUAAGCACCGGCUAGCUCCGUGCCAGCAGCCGCGGUAAUAACGGAGGGUGCAAGCGUUACUCGGAAUCACUGGGCGUAAAGGACGCGUAGGCGGGUUGGAAAGUCAGGUGUGAAAUCCUACAGCUUAACUGUAGAACUGCACUUGAAACUUCUAAUCUAGAGUAUGGGAGGGGGAGAUGGAAUUAGUGGUGUAGGGGUAAAAUCCGUAGAUAUCACUAGGAAUACCUAAAGCGAAGGCGAUCUCCUGGAACAUUACUGACGCUAAGGCGUGAAAGCGUGGGGAGCAAACAGGAUUAGAUACCCUCGUAGUC